This 612-nucleotide long non-coding RNA is filed under the name Sorghum bicolor (sorghum). RNAcentral's name for it is "long non-coding RNA (SBIC_LNC007335)". The record is from RNAcentral. Lineage: Eukaryota; Viridiplantae; Streptophyta; Magnoliopsida; Poales; Poaceae.
CAACUGCUCCCUUUGUAUAUACACUCAAAGGUAUACUUCGAAUUCUCUGUAUCAACUAUCUAUUUCCCGUGGACUCUUUCUCUCCGAUUUUUAUCGUUUUUGUUCUUCUGUUAGAUGGCCCCGAUCGACACGAGGUGUCAAGUCCUCAGGCUACGGAAUCCCGCCGUAGACGAAAACGGAAAUUAGAUCAACGACUUUUUGCACAGUCAGGUCGUGCCUUCUCCCUGUUACACUACUGUGUGUUGCUUCCUGUGCCACGUGGUAUUUGGUUCUACGUGGUUCUGUGUUGCUUCUUUGACACAUCUUUCCACGCGUGUGAUCAGGCAAACUUUAUCUUAAGGCAACAAAUCGUGGGUGUGGCCAAUUUACGCAAUCCUUCAUAGAUGCACUCAAGGGUACAUUUUUGCUCCGCCAUUCUAGUCCUUUCUAGACCUAUGUACCCAUCCUAUUUCUUCGAUAGCGUUUUCCCGGUAUCGACUGUGUAUUGCUAUUCUUAAGUACCCUCUUCUUGCUUCGCAGCAUCUCAUCCAGGAAGAUCUUAUUAUGGGCCGCCGGAGUAUAGAUGUCCCCAUUGCCAUGCUAUUUUUUGGCAUCAGGAGAGCAUAAAAUGUG